UUGACCUAAAUGCCAGUGUAAACUACGAGCCACAACUGGGUCAAAUUGAUUCAGUUUAAGUUCACGCCCUGUAGUAACUGAAAGCUGGCAACAAGCAACACAGCAACUGUGGCACUGAAGAAGCAACGCCAGACAACACGAAAAGUUUAAAAGCCAAGUUGAAGGUCAUCAAGGUCACUUCAGGUUAAAGUCACCAAGGUCAUUCAAGGUCAAUUAACUUAACAUGGGUCAAGGAGAAGGAAGUGGAAGAGGCGACCUAUGCCCUGGAAUAUUGUGGGCUAUUCUAUGGCUUCUAAUUCUCUGGUUUGCGGCAUGGCCAAUUGCCUUUUUUAUCGCCUGGCUGUACAUUCUUCUUCUACCAUUCCAAGCCUGCUGCGACUGCAUUAAACCAAUCAAUGAGGCCCUCUUCAAGGUCGUGAGCUUGCCCUUGACCUGUGCAGAGAAAAUGGUGGCCAUGGAGCCCCUGUGUGGAUAGGAGGCAUGGUCACAUGACACCAUCACUCAAAAGACCUCAUAUUUCUUUUAAAAACACGCUUGCUUUCAUCUACUCUGAAGUUCCAAAUAAUCUAUAUGUAAGGUGAAACUAAUCACUUCUAUGAAAAACUAAGGAAGAAAAAUGACAAAUUAGCAUAAAUACUGAGAAGCUUGAUCUAUCAGGUUGGAAAAUGUCUUAUUUCACCAUACUACGUCCAAUGUAUAUCUCUACUGACUAUGAGCAGAAUACUGCUGAAGAAAUCUCUCAGGAAAUAACACCAAAUCGACAUACACUGUAUAUAUUACUGUUACUGCUAUUAAAAAGAGAAGUACUUUCUUCCAUGAAGAGGAUAAAUAAGCCAAAUCCAUGCAUUUAGCAGGGUCAUUCAUAAUUCUGCUGCAACUAUAUUUUCAUAUAAAUAAAUUGCUAGAUUUUCAUACACUGUACUUCAUCUUGGAUAACAGAUUUGGAAAGCUAUAAGAUGAAUAAGAAAACUGCUCAAUUGUUACCAAUUAUGCGACAUCACAGGAUCUGCAUUGGACUUAAAGAAUCUCUAAGAUGGCACUUUCUUUUGGGAGUGAAUAGCUGACAUGAACUUUACAUAGAAAUAUUGGAGAUAAAUGUCAACUCAUACAUUUCGAAUGAUAAUUCAGUGUAUUUCAGUAUAAAAGUAAGAAAUGUAGUACUUUUAACUACUGUAUAAUAACCUGAAAGUAGGAUUACAUUCAGUUGAAUGCUAAAGAUCAUUUGUUGGGUUGAAGAUUUUUUUUACAAAAAAAUGCUGAUUUAUCACCGUUUCGACUCCAAGUUUUCAGUUAAGGCAAAGCUGAUCAGCUAUUUUGCUUAAAAAGAGGUUUUGUAAAACUGAAAAAGAUAUGUCCUGUUUAAAUGAAAAGUGCAUAGUUUUAUCUCUGUUUGCCUUUACAGCAUUUUAUUCUACAGAUAAUUGUUAUACAUCAACCACAGGGAUCAAAUGAGAGAAUAUUUUUGCAUUUAUAAAUGUGCCUUUUUGUCCAAAUGCUUUUUACUAUUAAAAUCCUUCAUAAACUAGCAUAACUUAGGGGGAAAAUCAAUUCUAGGACUAUUUUGUAUGUGGAACUUUUAAUAUUGAGCUUCGUUUGAAAUAUUUUUCACUUUUUUAGGGGCAUUAUAAAAAUUUCUCACUAGUCAGCUUUUGCAUGUAAAAAUAUAAUUUUGUGUACGUUUAAAAAAACAUUUUGAAAAACAGUAUCUUAGUUCAAGAUAUCUAGCAAAUGAUUGAAACCUGAAUUCAUUAGGUAUGUGCAUCUAUACACAAUAUUGUAUCAUGUGAAAAUAAAAGUCUCUUCAAAAACA
RNAcentral lists this long non-coding RNA (1810 nucleotides) under Lingula anatina. RNAcentral describes it as "uncharacterized LOC106162795". Lineage: Eukaryota; Metazoa; Brachiopoda; Lingulata; Lingulida; Lingulidae. The record is from RNAcentral.